This 1216-nucleotide long non-coding RNA is filed under the name Homo sapiens (human). RNAcentral's name for it is "HSALNT0048332". The record is from RNAcentral. Lineage: Eukaryota; Metazoa; Chordata; Mammalia; Primates; Hominidae.
GGUUUAUUCACGUUUUCUACUUAUUUCAGGAAUCACCUUUGGUUGCUGAAGCAUCCAAAGUGGAAGAACUCUCAGAGGAAACGGAAGUUAAAUCACCAUCUUCUUCUGUGGCUAAACCUAUAACAGUAAGAGGGCAGGAGGAAAAUUCCUGACUAUGACCUGGAUUUCUCCUACUCUCUUAGCCUCUGGAGUAGGGAUAACUCAAUUCAACUUUUCUGCUCUGACUUGUAUUUUGAAGGCCAAGGAAACAAGGCCCAUGCACGCAUGUGCGCGCGCACCUCCCCACCCCCCACACACACUCAGGUUCAUUGUUUUCCCAAUUCCCCAGCAGUUCACAUAUUUCUGUAGACCAAGUCCUUUCCAGUAUCCCCACAAUCUUUUUUCAGAGGCUAUCUUACCAUGAUCUCACCAAGCCCAUGGCAGGAUAGCCCUUCACAAGUUUCUUCCUAAGGAUUCCUCAACCUGCAGAGCUAAAGACUUCUGUCCGAUCUGGGAAUCUACUGCCUUUCUCAGCCAUUUGGACAGGAUUGUCUGUCUAAAGCUUCAAAAAAAGAAAAAAAAUGUAUUUCUCGUUGAUGUAUACAGAAAGGACAUCUUGUGAUCAGAGAGCCACAGUACUUUGGAACUUGAGUGUUCUUUUUUUUUCCCAUAUAUUUACUAUUUGCUUUUGACAUUUCCUUGUGCCAAAGAAAGCCUUUUCCACUUUUAAUCACCAUGAUAAUUUGGUUUCCUUUCCCAUCUCUGUCCACUGGUGUAUGCUACACUUAGGCUAAAAAACAUAUUGCACACCCUUGACUACACUGUAAUACUGCACUCAGUACGGACGUGAAGCUCAGCAGGGACAUUAAAAGUAUCAUAUGCUGGGAUGGUCCUUUCCUUUUUUCUGGUGUUCAGCAUCUUUUAUAAGGCAGAAUUAAGAAAACAGAAACAUAAAUCAUGAAAUUUGAAUCUCUUGUAAUAAAGAAGGCAAGACUGCCUUUGGUCUCAAAAGGUGGAAAAAGUAUUUUUUACAUUCCUAACCUGCUACCAAUGUCUUUUAUGAAGCAAUUUUCAAUGUGAAAUGAGACAGGGAAAUAGAACCAUGAGCUUCCUUGUUUGUGUUUUCUGAGCCCCUGGUGUUAGAUUGGGUUUUUCUGAAUAGUUUUAUAGCCAAUUUAGCAGUUUCUCAUCUAGGGAGCAAGUUUUUGUUUUGUUUUGUUUUAUGGUUAAUAAAUCC